AUUGAACGCUGGCGGCAGGCUUAACACAUGCAAGUCGAGCGGGGGAAGGUAGCUUGCUACCGGACCUAGCGGCGGACGGGUGAGUAAUGCUUAGGAAUCUGCCUAUUAGUGGGGGACAACAUCUCGAAAGGGAUGCUAAUACCGCAUACGUCCUACGGGAGAAAGCAGGGGAGCUGCGGACCUUGCGCUAAUAGAUGAGCCUAAGUCGGAUUAGCUAGUUGGUGGGGUAAAGGCCUACCAAGGCGACGAUCUGUAGCGGGUCUGAGAGGAUGAUCCGCCACACUGGGACUGAGACACGGCCCAGACUCCUACGGGAGGCAGCAGUGGGGAAUAUUGGACAAUGGGGGGAACCCUGAUCCAGCCAUGCCGCGUGUGUGAAGAAGGCCUUAUGGUUGUAAAGCACUUUAAGCGAGGAGGAGGCUACUUUAGUUAAUACCUAGAGAUAGUGGACGUUACUCGCAGAAUAAGCACCGGCUAACUCCGUGCCAGCAGCCGCAGUAA
RNAcentral lists this ribosomal RNA (501 nucleotides) under uncultured bacterium. RNAcentral describes it as "partial 16S ribosomal RNA". It matches the Rfam family "Bacterial small subunit ribosomal RNA", at positions 30 to 523 of the family's 1533-position model. The record is from RNAcentral.